This 231-nucleotide ribosomal RNA is filed under the name uncultured bacterium. RNAcentral describes it as "partial 16S ribosomal RNA". It matches the Rfam family "Bacterial small subunit ribosomal RNA", at positions 546 to 776 of the family's 1533-position model. The record is from RNAcentral.
CGGAAUUACUGGGCGUAAAGUGUGCGCAGGCGGCCGAGCAAGUCGAGUGUGAAAGCCCCGGGCUUAACUUGGGAAUUGCGCUCGAAACUACUUGGCUGGAGUGUGGCAGAGGAAGGUGGAAUUCCAGGUGUAGCGGUGAAAUGCGUAGAUAUCGGGAGGAACACCAGUGGCGAAGGCGACUACCUGGCCUGUUCUUGACGCUGAGGCGCGAAAGCGUGGGGAGCAAACAGG